RNAcentral lists this unclassified non-coding RNA (226 nucleotides) under Hevea brasiliensis (rubber tree). Lineage: Eukaryota; Viridiplantae; Streptophyta; Magnoliopsida; Malpighiales; Euphorbiaceae. The record is from RNAcentral.
UCCCCCUUCCUUCGGCAUCCCUUUCAGCACCUGAACCUCUUGGUGGGGGAGCUGCCGGAACAAAAUCAUUUUCUAUUCAAAAAAAUCAAUAUCGGACAAGAUCGUAGAAAAGAGGUAGUGGCUGGUCUUUCCCUUUCCCCAACUCCAUCUCCUCGUCCACCCGGUGAAGCUGCUUCUCGUAUUAAGAAAGCUCUGACUUAGGCUUAGGAACUUGCUUGCUUCUUUG